UGGGGAAUUUUGGACAAUGGGGGAAACCCUGAUCCAGCCAUCCCGCGUGUGCGAUGAAGGCCUUCGGGUUGUAAAGCACUUUUGGCAGGAAAGAAACGUCGCGGGCUAAUACCUCGCGAAACUGACGGUACCUGCAGAAUAAGCACCGGCUAACUCCGUUCCAGCAGCCGCGGUAAUACGGAGGGUGCGAGCGUUAUCCGGAUUUACUGGGUUUAAAGGGUGCGUAGGUGGGCUUAUAAGUCAGUGGUGAAAUCUCCGAGCUUAACUUGGAAACUGCCGUUGAUACUGUAGGUCUUGAAUUAUCUGGAGGUAAGCGGAAUAUGUCAUGUAGCAGUGAAAUGCUUAGAUAUGACAUAGAACACCUAUUGCGAAGGCAGCUUACUACAUAUAAAUUGACGCUGAGGCACGAAAGCGUGGGGAUCAA
This 424-nucleotide ribosomal RNA is filed under the name uncultured bacterium. Its description in RNAcentral is "bacterial SSU rRNA". It matches the Rfam family "Bacterial small subunit ribosomal RNA", at positions 355 to 771 of the family's 1533-position model. The record is from RNAcentral.